UACGUGCCAGCAGCCGCGGUAAUACGUAGGGCGCGAGCGUUGUCCGGAAUUAUUGGGCGUAAAGAGCUUGUAGGCGGUUGGUCGCGUCUGCUGUGAAAGGCUGGGGCUUAACCCUGGUUUUGCAGUGGGUACGGGCUAACUAGAGUGCAGUAGGGGAGACUGGAAUUCCUGGUGUAGCGGUGGAAUGCGCAGAUAUCAGGAGGAACACCGAUGGCGAAGGCAGGUCUCUGGGCUGUAACUGACGCUGAGAAGCGAAAGCAUGGGGAGCGAACAGGAUUAGAUACCCUGGUAGUCCAUGCCGUAAACGUUGGGCACUAGGUGUGGGGGACAUUCCACGUUUUCCGCGCCGUAGCUAACGCAUUAAGUGCCCCGCCUGGGGAGUACGGCCGCAAGGCUAAAACUCAAAGAAAUUGACGGGGGCCCGCACAAGCGGCGGAGCAUGCGGAUUAAUUCGAUGCAACGCGAAGAACCUUACCAAGGCUUGACAU
Molecule: ribosomal RNA, 488 nt
Filed under: uncultured bacterium
Lineage: Bacteria
Description: bacterial SSU rRNA
Rfam family: Bacterial small subunit ribosomal RNA
Source: RNAcentral